UCUGGUUCAAGAUCUGAAUAAAUCUUAUAGAUCUAAGAGUAUACCAUUUCUAAAUUUACUACUCUUUGGGUUAAACGUACCCCAAAUUUCAUAGGAAUAUAAAGAAAUAGGUUUGAUCAUGUGAUCAAAUAGAUGUAGACUGGUAGUAAUUUUUGGAUGUGAACGAAUAACAUCUUUGCAUAGUUUAUAAUAGCCUUUUAGACUCUUUUUGUACAAUUCCUGUCUUGCAUGAGAGAAGACCCCUGAAGCAGAAUAUAUAAGGCCUAAAUACUUGUAGUCCUGUACACAUUCCAGUUCAACUUGCUGAAGAG
RNAcentral lists this long non-coding RNA (311 nucleotides) under Mytilus galloprovincialis (Mediterranean mussel). The record is from RNAcentral. Lineage: Eukaryota; Metazoa; Mollusca; Bivalvia; Mytilida; Mytilidae.